This 620-nucleotide ribosomal RNA is filed under the name uncultured bacterium. RNAcentral's name for it is "bacterial SSU rRNA". It matches the Rfam family "Bacterial small subunit ribosomal RNA", at positions 338 to 951 of the family's 1533-position model. The record is from RNAcentral.
CCUACGGGAGGCAGCAGUGGGGAAUUUUGGACAAUGGGCGCAAGCCUGAUCCAGCAAUGCCGCGUGAGUGAAGAAGGCCUUCGGGUUGUAAAGCUCUUUUGUCAGGGAAGAAACGGUGGGGGCUAAUAUCCUCCACUAAUGACGGUACCUGAAGAAUAAGCACCGGCUAACUACGUGCCAGCAGCCGCGGUAAUACGUAGGGUGCAAGCGUUAAUCGGAAUUACUGGGCGUAAAGCGUGCGCAGGCGGUUUUGUAAGUUUGUCGUGAAAUCCCCGGGCUCAACCUGGGAAUGGCGAUGAAGACUGCAAGGCUAGAAUCUGGCAGAGGGGGGUAGAAUUCCACGUGUAGCAGUGGAAUGCGUAGAGAUGUGGAGGAACACCGAUGGCGAAGGCAGCCCCCUGGGUCAAGAUUGACGCUCAUGCACGAAAGCGUGGGGAGCAAACAGGAUUAGAUACCCUGGUAGUCCACGCCCUAAACGAUGUCUACGUAGUUGUCGGGUUUUAAUUAACUUGGUAACGCAGCUAACGCGUGAAGUAGACCGCCUGGGGAAGUCGGUCGCAAGAUUAAAACUNAAAUGAAUUGACGNUGAGACGUGCCGACGACGACGACGAGGGAGGAGG